CCCCUAGAUGUUCUGGGCCGCACGCGCGCUACACUGAACAGUUCAACAAGUCUUAACCUUGGCCGAUAGGUCUGGGUAAUCUUUGAACGCUGUUCGUGAUUGGGAUAGACCUUAGCAAUUAUGGGUCUUCAACGAGGAAUUCCUAGUAAACGCAAGUCAUCAGCUUGCAUUGAUUACGUCCCUGCCCUUUGUACACACCGCCCGUCGCACCUACCGAUUGAAUGGUCCGGUGAAAUCUCGGGACGGCGGCUUGGUCGCUUGCGUCCGACUGCUGAAACUUGAUUAAACCAUAUCAUUUAGAGGAAGGUGAAGUCGUANCA
Molecule: ribosomal RNA, 320 nt
Filed under: uncultured eukaryote
Lineage: Eukaryota
Description: partial 18S ribosomal RNA
Rfam family: Eukaryotic small subunit ribosomal RNA
Source: RNAcentral